RNAcentral lists this long non-coding RNA (946 nucleotides) under Panax ginseng (ginseng). RNAcentral's name for it is "long non-coding RNA (PGIN_LNC006033)". Lineage: Eukaryota; Viridiplantae; Streptophyta; Magnoliopsida; Apiales; Araliaceae. The record is from RNAcentral.
AUUUUUUUCCCUGCCGCUACAGCUUGUAGCUGCAGUCCACUGUCUUUUUUGUCCGUUAGCUUAUUACAUUACUGCCCCUAACAAUUUAAUACACACCUGCCGCUACAAGCUCAUGCGGUAGGGGCUGAUAAAAUUAUUCCUAUAUUGGGAUCACAGAAUUUAUCUUCCAUUUAAGAGUUGAAAACACCAAAAUCUCCAUUCUCCGAAUCGUUUUUGUCUCAAACAUAUACUGGGUCUCCUCCACCUUCACAAAUCAAGAUUACCCAGAUUUCAUUUACGCAUUUUAAAAAACAUAACAUAUGCAUAAAAAAAUUCAUCAAGAUUUUGUUUUAAAAAAACUUACUUGGAGGUCUAUAAGCAGGGGAACUUGGGUCUCCUUUACUUUAGCAGCAAGGGAGAGACAAGAAACAGCAACAAUUUGGGUCAUCCAUUGCUUAUCUCCCUGGAACUGGAAGCUGAACAGGAAUCUAUCAAGAUAGUUCACUGCAAGAACAACAGUGAGAGCAGAAAAAGAGUAAUGGGCAACAACUUUGAGUAUCCAAUCCACCGCUUCCGGCACCGGGCCCAAGGUGCCUUUUUCAAGACUAUUUUAUUAGUAAAUAUUAAUAUUAUUUAAUAUUUUAAUUUAAAGUUUACUAUUAAUAUUUAUAAAUAAUAUUCAUAAUUAAUAUUAUUAUUAAUUUACUAAUAAUAUUCCUAAUAGGAAAAAUGAAGCAAAGGGCCAAGGAAAAAAGGGAUGCAGAAGAAAAAUGGGAAGGAUUGUCGUUACAGCCUGUAGCGGUAGGGAAGAAAAUGGGGAAGGUCUGCCACUACAACCUGUAGUGACAGAGUUGCUAUAGCAACCGGUUGUCAUGGAUUAAUUCACUAUAUAUAUAUAUAUAUAUAUAUAUAUAUAUAUAUAUAUGCACUUAAAUCAAAUUAAGGCUGAAUUCGCAGACAAAGAGAG